This 457-nucleotide long non-coding RNA is filed under the name Gallus gallus (chicken). Its description in RNAcentral is "lncRNA (ENSGALG00010024043.1)". Lineage: Eukaryota; Metazoa; Chordata; Aves; Galliformes; Phasianidae. The record is from RNAcentral.
CCACAGGAGGCCCCACCGUGUCAGAAGUGGCUGCUGUGCGCCUGUGUGAUCAUAUACAGGCGUGGAGGCAGAAACAUCCCGCUAAGCCUUGGCUGCAGAGAGGAGAAGGUGCAUUUUGACUGGAACCCACCGUAAACUGGUUUGGGUUUCGUUUAGUUUCUGUAGGCAGGCUGGAGGGGUGAAGUCUAAGGAAGCGAUAUUCUGUCUUGCGCAUCUUGAACAUAGUGACUGAAGAAAGCAAAGUUCUUUGGCUGGCACACCUUUGAAAUCAACAGCUUUUUAAAAGUCAGGUUUUGGAGUUCUGUAUCUGUAAUGAUGAAGAGAUGAAAGCAGAGUUGGCUCUCUGGAAAAAUGGUAGCACCUAGGAAACAGAGAAGAAAUACACCUGACAUACCUGGACUGGAGAUGGUGACAAAAUAGAAUACGCAGACAUCCCAAACAACCUUCUUUAACUUUG